AGAGUUUGAUCCUGGCUCAGAACGAACGCUGGCGGCAGGCUUAACACAUGCAAGUUGAACGUGAUUUGCUGGGUGCUUGCACCGAGCAAUGAAAGUAGCGCACUGGUGAGUAACACGUGGGAACGUACCUUUUGGUGGGGAACAACAGUUGGAAACGACUGCUAAUACCGCAUAAGCCCUGAGGGGGAAAGAUUUAUCGCCGAAAGAACGGCCCGCGGAAGAUUAGGUAGUUGGUGGGGUAACGGCCUACCAAGCCGACGAUCUAUAGCUGGUCUGAGAGGACGAUCAGCCACAUUGGAACUGAGACACGGUCCAAACUCCUACGGGAGGCAGCAGUGAGGAAUAUUGGGCAAUGGAGGCAACUCUGACCCAGCCAUGCCGCGUGAGUGAAGAAGGUUUUCGGAUUGUAAAGCUCUUUCGGGUGUGACGAUGAUGACGGUAGCACCUAAAGAAGCCCCGGCUAACUUCGUGCCAGCAGCCGCGGUAAUACGAAGGGGGCAAGCGUUGUUCGGAAUUACUGGGCGUAAAGGGAGUGUAGGCGGUUAUGUAAGAUAGUGGUGAAAUCCCAGAGCUUAACUUUGGAAUUGCCAUUAUGACUAUGUGGCUAGAAUUACAGAGAGGAUAGUGGAAUACCCAGUGUAGAGGUGAAAUUCGUAGAUAUUGGGUAGAACACCAGUGGCGAAGGCGACUAUCUGGCUGUAUAUUGACGCUGAGGCUCGAAAGCAUGGGGAUCAAACAGGAUUAGAUACCCUGGUAGUCCAUGCUGUAAACGAUGAGUGCUUGUUGUCGGUAUUGUAUCGGUGACGAAGUUAACGCGUUAAGCACUCCGCCUGGGGAGUACGGUCGCAAGAUUAAAACUCAAAGGAAUUGACGGGGACCCGCACAAGCGGUGGAGCAUGUGGUUUAAUUCGAUGCAACGCGAAGAACCUUACCAACUCUUGACAUCCUUAUCGGGGAGAUCAGAGAUGAUUUCUUUCAGUUAGGCUGGAUAAGUGACAGAUGCUGCAUGGCUGUCGUCAGCUCGUGUCGUGAGAUGUU
This 1038-nucleotide ribosomal RNA is filed under the name human gut metagenome. RNAcentral describes it as "bacterial SSU rRNA". It matches the Rfam family "Bacterial small subunit ribosomal RNA", at positions 8 to 1076 of the family's 1533-position model. The record is from RNAcentral.